GCGGCGGACGGGUGAGUAACACGUGGGUAACCUACCUAUAAGACUGGGAUAACUUCGGGAAACCGGAGCUAAUACCGGAUAACAUUUGGAACCGCAUGGUUCUAAAGUGAAAGAUGGUUUUGCUAUCACUUAUAGAUGGACCCGCGCCGUAUUAGCUAGUUGGUAAGGUAACGGCUUACCAAGGCGACGAUACGUAGCCGACCUGAGAGGGUGAUCGGCCACACUGGAACUGAGACACGGUCCAGACUCCUACGGGAGGCAGCAGUAGGGAAUCUUCCGCAAUGGGCGAAAGCCUGACGGAGCAACGCCGCGUGAGUGAUGAAGGGUUUCGGCUCGUAAAACUCUGUUAUUAGGGAAGAACAAACGUGUAAGUAACUGUGCACGUCUUGACGGUACCUAAUCAGAAAGCCACGGCUAACUACGUGCCAGCAGCCGCGGUAAUACGUAGGUGGCAAGCGUUAUCCGGAAUUAUUGGGCGUAAAGCGCGCGUAGGCGGUUUCUUAAGUCUGAUGUGAAAGCCCACGGCUCAACCGUGGAGGGUCAUUGGAAACUGGGAAACUUGAGUACAGAAGAGGAAAGUGGAAUUCCAUGUGUAGCGGUGAAAUGCGCAGAGAUAUGGAGGAACACCAGUGGCGAAGGCGACUUUCUGGUCUGUAACUGACGCUGAUGUGCGAAAGCGUGGGGAUCAAACAGGAUUAGAUACCCUGGUAGUCCACGCCGUAAACGAUGAGUGCUAAGUGUUAGGGGGU
RNAcentral lists this ribosomal RNA (749 nucleotides) under Staphylococcus saprophyticus. RNAcentral describes it as "bacterial SSU rRNA". It matches the Rfam family "Bacterial small subunit ribosomal RNA", at positions 95 to 831 of the family's 1533-position model. The record is from RNAcentral. Lineage: Bacteria; Bacillati; Bacillota; Bacilli; Caryophanales; Staphylococcaceae.